UUCUAUCUCAUAAAAUAAGAGGUAAUCUUGUUCAAAACAUUUUGUUGAAACUCUAAGAUGAGUGCAAAAUCCAAACAUAAAAACAUUCUCACAAUCUCCGCUAAGAACAUUUCUUUCUAACAUAUGAAGAUAUCAAAAUAUUGAAGAAAGGAAUGUAAGGAAGCACUACAUAGGUAACUAAAAACUUCAAAAAUGAACGAUUCCGUCGCCACACACUUCUUCUUUAAAUUCUUGCUCAAAAGCUCAUUCUUCAUCAUCCUCAUCACCAUCACCGCCAGCAGCCUUCUUGGCAGCAGACUUUUGGUUCUUUCGCUUCACUCUUCCUGGACGCCCACCACCAAAAGGACUGGUUAGAGAGAAGUCAAUGUGCUUCUGAGAGUCGACUCUCACCAUGAAUGAAGCAACAUUCACGACUUGCCUUCCAACCCUGAUGUGCCUUUGCCUG
RNAcentral lists this unclassified non-coding RNA (445 nucleotides) under Hevea brasiliensis (rubber tree). Lineage: Eukaryota; Viridiplantae; Streptophyta; Magnoliopsida; Malpighiales; Euphorbiaceae. The record is from RNAcentral.